Molecule: small nuclear RNA, 130 nt
Organism: Phyllostomus discolor (pale spear-nosed bat)
Lineage: Eukaryota; Metazoa; Chordata; Mammalia; Chiroptera; Phyllostomidae
Source: RefSeq, a predicted model, not a curated record
AUGUUGUAUGAAAGGAGAGAAGGUUGGUAUGUCCCUUGACAAGGAUGCAAGAGGGUCUCAGCCCUAACAACAUGCACACAGUUAAGGCACUGCCACCUACUUACUUCAUGGCAUCUAACCAAUGUUUUUC